GGGUCAGUAGCUCAGUUGGUUAGAGCACCGUGUUGAUAACGCGGGGGUCAUAGGUUCGAUUCCUAUCUGACCCACCA
This 77-nucleotide transfer RNA is filed under the name Deefgea chitinilytica. RNAcentral's name for it is "tRNA-Ile". It matches the Rfam family "tRNA". Rfam says of the family: Transfer RNA (tRNA) molecules are approximately 80 nucleotides in length. Lineage: Bacteria; Pseudomonadati; Pseudomonadota; Betaproteobacteria; Neisseriales; Chitinibacteraceae. RNAcentral also lists the same sequence under 4 other names. The record is from RNAcentral.